GCCGGGGCGGCCGAGCCCGGUCCAAGGCGCGGGACUGCUAAUCCCGUGGCCCGUAUGGGCCGCCCGGGUUCAAAUCCCGGCCCCGGCGCCA
This 91-nucleotide transfer RNA is filed under the name Methanopyrus kandleri. RNAcentral describes it as "tRNA-Ser". It matches the Rfam family "tRNA". Rfam says of the family: Transfer RNA (tRNA) molecules are approximately 80 nucleotides in length. Their secondary structure includes four short double-helical elements and three loops (D, anti-codon, and T loops). Further hydrogen bonds mediate the characteristic L-shaped molecular structure. tRNAs have two regions of fundamental functional importance: the anti-codon, which is responsible for specific mRNA codon recognition, and the 3' end, to which the tRNAs corresponding amino acid is attached (by aminoacyl-tRNA synthetases). tRNAs cope with the degeneracy of the genetic code in two manners: having more than one tRNA (with a specific anti-codon) for a particular amino acid; and 'wobble' base-pairing, i.e. permitting non-standard base-pairing at the 3rd anti-codon position. RNAcentral also lists the same sequence under 3 other names. Lineage: Archaea; Methanobacteriati; Methanobacteriota; Methanopyri; Methanopyrales; Methanopyraceae. The record is from RNAcentral.